GCUAUUAAGCUUUCCAAUGCAUUUUCAACUGUUCAUUUAGUUUAAGCUAAAACUUUCUUUGUGAAAUGUUCUUUGUAUUCAACAUUCUUUGACUGGGCAUGCACCUAAGCCCAUUGUAUGCCCGGCCAAACAAUGUUGUUACCAGUCUGGGCUUCAGUUGAACGCUUUACAGACAAAGUUUACUUCAGAAAAUUUACAUGCAAUAUUUCAGUUGCUGGCAUAACUUGGCAUAGCUUCUAAACUGUACUAAUCGAAAUGCAAAAUGUUUCUCCUGCUAAUAAUUGCUUGACUUAUUUAAGUCUGCCAUUAUUAGUCGCGGAUUGAACGUUUAAACAAUAAUAAUCGUUAGAGUAUUUUUAAAAGAAAGCUAUGCUUGGGAUUUCAUGUUGUAAUUUAACAUUCUUUGUCUAAGAAUUAUUUAUAAAUUGCUUCAACAUGCAUGCAAAUCGCUAUACUAACAAUUGAUGCACACGUUUAUAUUACUUUUAAAUUUUCUUUUUAACAACAAUUUAAAAUGCAUUGGAACAUAGCUUAGUGGC
Regulatory RNA element from Drosophila busckii, 539 nucleotides. It matches the Rfam family "Bicoid 3'-UTR regulatory element". From Rfam's summary of the family: This family represents the core structure of the bicoid 3'-UTR and consists of domains II, III, IV and V which are known to be essential for correct transport and localisation of bicoid mRNA during oocyte and embryo differentiation. The record is from Rfam. Lineage: Eukaryota; Metazoa; Arthropoda; Insecta; Diptera; Drosophilidae.